This 458-nucleotide ribosomal RNA is filed under the name uncultured Actinomycetales bacterium. RNAcentral's name for it is "bacterial SSU rRNA". It matches the Rfam family "Bacterial small subunit ribosomal RNA", at positions 66 to 539 of the family's 1533-position model. The record is from RNAcentral. Lineage: Bacteria; Bacillati; Actinomycetota; Actinomycetes; Actinomycetales.
ACGAGAAAGUGGAGCAACCAUGAGUAUAGUGGCGAACGGGUGAGUAACACGUGACUAACCUGCCUUCGAGUGGGGGAUAACCUCGGGAAACCGGGGCUAAUACCGCAUAAGAUCCUGAGGGUGCAAUUCCCAUGGGACCAAAGGGGUAAGACGCUUGAAGAGGGGGUCGCGGCUGAUUAGCUAGUUGGUGAGGUAAUGGCUCACCAAGGCGAAGAUCGGUAGCCGGCCUGAGAGGGCGCACGGCCACACUGGAACUGAAACACGGUCCAGACUCCUACGGGAGGCAGCAGUGGGGAAUUUUGCGCAAUGGGGGAAACCCUGACGCAGCAACGCCGCGUGGAGGAUGAAGCCCUUUGGGGCGUAAACUCCUUUCGAUCGGGACGAUUAUGACGGUACCGGAUGAAGAAGCACCGGCUAACUCUGUGCCAGCAAGCCGCGGUAAUACAGAGGGUGCAAGC